AUGAGUUCUCACUAGACUUUUAAAGUCUCUGAAGGGCCGUUGAAGACUACAACGUUGAUAGGCAGGAUGUGGAAGUGGUGUGAGCCAUUAAGCUAACCUGUACUAAUUACCCGUGAGGCUUAACCAUACAACGCCAAACGCGUUU
This 145-nucleotide ribosomal RNA is filed under the name Pseudoalteromonas shioyasakiensis. RNAcentral describes it as "partial 23S ribosomal RNA". The stretch from base 1 to 127 matches the Rfam family "Bacterial large subunit ribosomal RNA", at positions 2804 to 2925 of the family's 2925-position model. The record is from RNAcentral. Lineage: Bacteria; Pseudomonadati; Pseudomonadota; Gammaproteobacteria; Alteromonadales; Pseudoalteromonadaceae.